CAGGAUUAGAUACCCUGGUAGUCCUACCGUUAAACGAUGGGCACUAGGUGUUUGUCGGUAUCGACCCCGCCAGUGCCGCAGCAAACGCAUUAAGUGCACCGCCUGGGGAGUAACGGUCGCAAGAUUGAAACUCAAAGGAAUUGACGGGGGCCCGCACAAGCGGUGGAGUAUGUGGUUCAAUUCGACGCAAACGCGCAGAACCUUACCUGGGCUUGACAUAUGCUGGAAAGCCACAGAGAUGUGGUCCCUCCUUCGGGAGUCAGUAUACAGGUGCUGCAUGGCUGUCGUCAGCUCGUGUCGUGAGAUGUUGGGUUAAGUCCCGCAACGAGCGCAACCCUCGUCCUUAGUUGCCAUCAGGUUAUGCUGGGGACUCUAAGGAGACUGCCGGUGACAAGCCGGAGGAAGGUGGGGAUGACGUCAAGUCCUCAUGGCCCUUACGCCCAGGGCUACACACGUACUACAAUGGCCGGUAUAGACGGCAGCAAUACCGCAAGGUGGAGCUAAUCCCUAAAACCGGCCUCAGUUCAGAUUGGAGUCUGCAACUCGACUCCAUGAAGGUGGAAUCGCUAGUAAUCGCAGAUCAGCAUGCUGCGGUGAUACGUUCCCGGGCCUGUACACACCGCCCGUCAAGCCAUGGGAGUGGGGGUACCCGAAGUCGC
RNAcentral lists this ribosomal RNA (659 nucleotides) under uncultured organism. RNAcentral's name for it is "bacterial SSU rRNA". It matches the Rfam family "Bacterial small subunit ribosomal RNA", at positions 773 to 1430 of the family's 1533-position model. The record is from RNAcentral.